AAGCAGCAAUCAGGUAUUGUUGGAAGCUUAAUAAUGCAAGCUCUUCCAUUUCCAUGGAGCCAAGACAGGCUGGAUGAAGCCUGUUUUUAGCACAAAGUGGUAGAAAUUGACAAGUUCACAUAAAUUGUUGGAGGUGGUUAACGAGGUGGGUGAGAGAGAGCUUAUUUCAAAUGUGGUGCUACUCAACUCAUGUGCCUAUGCAGUGGUAAGACAGGUGAGGGACUCAUUUCAGGUGCGGUGCCGUUCUCAUCCCCAGCUAGUGGUUCCCCAGGUAAGAGCUAAUUGUAAGUGUAGUGGUUCCCAAGUGUCGGGCAUUAGCAAGGUUGGAAAGAAAGCUUAUUCUAGUUGUGGUGCUACAACAUGCCCAUGGAAGGAGUUCAAUGAUCUAUGUGUUGGAUGAACCUAUUUUGAUGGGUUGCGUAACUAUUCAACUUUACCGCUAGCAGAUAUUGUCCUAUUUGGUCUUUUA
Molecule: long non-coding RNA, 469 nt
Organism: Cucurbita maxima (winter squash)
Lineage: Eukaryota; Viridiplantae; Streptophyta; Magnoliopsida; Cucurbitales; Cucurbitaceae
Exons: 2
Source: RefSeq, a predicted model, not a curated record